GAAUAACCUGAAAUACAGCGAUCUUUCUUUCUUCUUUUUCCUGCCCUAGUGGGAAGUAAAAGCCUUGAGGAAAACUUCGCAGCCUUUUUCCCUGAGUGCGGAGGGGGACCCACAGCUGAUCCUCUAGGAAGCUGCACACAAUUAAGACUCAUUUUCUUUCUGCUGGAACAAUUAAUUGUACGAMUCAAAGGUAGGAAUCAUUGCCCUGUCUCCUGCAACACCCUGUAAGAUGGUGUCCUGGAUACUUAGCAACUGCGGACGGGCAGGUCUGGUUUGAACCAGCAGGAAGCUCUCACCAACUUCAGCUGGCCUUUGGAUCCAGCCUUUCUGUCCCGACUAGCUCAAAAAAACGCCACUGGUCCAGAAGUCAAGGGGAAGAGCGCUGCUGGACAGCAGGUGCAAAGUGGCCUCUUGCAAUGGCAAAAGCAGUCUCGGAUGUGCAAAGUCCAGGAGUUCAGUUCCAAAACGAGGACACAGCUGACAUUUUAGAUCCAGCAGACUCAGGGCACUUAGGCCUGCACAGGGAGAGGCUAAUGCCAUUGCUCCUGGUAUGUUUAGCUAAUUGUCUAACAACUGUUCUGCGCAAGAGCUACAAGAUAAAAGGCCAGACUGACCCUCGGCAAGGYGGACACGAGAGGAGUUCCCGCCUGCACUGAAAGAAUAGCUCAACAUCUGUCAUCCCAUUCUCUACCAUGGCCCAAAAUCAGGAAGACUACAGCUGUCCUGUUCCUUUCAGAUACUUCUGGGAUAGAGAGGAAUCUUCUGGAUGCAAAUGUUUCCCACCAGUUCCCUCAGUCUGGAGUACAGAAUUGCUGGCUAUUGAGACCGCAUGUCUGUAUAUAGAUCACUACAAGCCAGCAGAGCGGAGGAGGAUCCCUGCACCUCCCUUCUAUCCUAACCACAAAGAGAGAAAGAAGCUCCCAUUCAGCUUCACGCUACCACCAGUGGCUGGCUGCUCUGGCUACUCAGCCCAGCUUAUCUACAGAUAACACAGAAAGGAAGGAUGGGGUAAAGGGUCAGUGUAAACUGUCACUUGCCUCCCUAUGAUCAGUAGACAAUUUCUUUACAGGAAGGUCUUAGGAAGGAUUUGGAAGAAGAUUGGGCAAAAUAAAUUAGGGAUUUUGAUAACCUCA
Molecule: long non-coding RNA, 1133 nt
Filed under: Dromaius novaehollandiae (emu)
Lineage: Eukaryota; Metazoa; Chordata; Aves; Casuariiformes; Dromaiidae
Description: lncRNA (ENSDNVG00000016849.1)
Source: RNAcentral